This is a small nucleolar RNA of Sarcophilus harrisii (Tasmanian devil), 289 nucleotides long. The record is from Ensembl. Lineage: Eukaryota; Metazoa; Chordata; Mammalia; Dasyuromorphia; Dasyuridae.
CUGGGUGAUGACUCCAAGGCGAAUGCGACCUCCGUGCCAUCUGACUCCUGACUCCCAGGGGGGAGGGGGGAGGCUAGAGGAAUUGUGAUAAUGGGGGUCUGAAAUAUUGGUGGGGGUGCCAGAGGCGUGGACUCCUGCUAAAAGGCAGAUCAACAUCAUGCUCGGCCCCCUUGGUUCCUAGUGGCUGCCUUCAGCCCCUGGCAGCUAUACCAAGCAGGGGCCCACAGGUGGGGUCAGGGCCAAAGCAGAGGCACUGGCUGCGUUUGAGCGCAAACCCCUAGAUCUGACA